Molecule: small nucleolar RNA, 143 nt
Organism: Rattus rattus (black rat)
Lineage: Eukaryota; Metazoa; Chordata; Mammalia; Rodentia; Muridae
Product: small nucleolar RNA SNORA48
Exons: 1
Source: RefSeq, a predicted model, not a curated record
UCCCACUGGCAAUGGACAAAGAAAUACUUUGUUGGUGAUGUUGUUCUUAUAUCAGGACAGAGCAGAUGGCAGUCCUUUGUUCAUCCUACCUAGAUGCUUGCUUGCCUUGAUAGCCAAAGCUGUUUUAUGCCUGGAACACAUAA